UGGGGAAUAUUGGACAAUGGGGGAAACCCUGAUCCAGCAAUGCCGCGUGAAUGAAGAAGGCCUUCGGGUUGUAAAAUUCUUUCACUCGUGAAGAUAAUGACGGUAGCGAGAGAAGAAGUCCCGGCUAACUCUGUGCCAGCAGCCGCGGUAAGACAGAGGGGACGAGCGUUGUUCGGAAUGACUGGGCGUAAAGGGUGCGUAGGCGGUUAUUUAAGUAAGGUGUUAAAGCCCUGGGCUCAACCCAGGAAUCGCAUCUUAUACUGGGUGACUUGAGUGUGAUAGAGGAAAGUGGAAUUCCUAGUGUAGAGGUGAAAUUCGUAGAUAUUAGGAGGAACACCAGAGGCGAAGGCGGCUUUCUGGGUCACAACUGACGCUGAGGCACGAAAGCGUGGGGAGCAAACAGG
RNAcentral lists this ribosomal RNA (404 nucleotides) under uncultured bacterium. RNAcentral's name for it is "bacterial SSU rRNA". It matches the Rfam family "Bacterial small subunit ribosomal RNA", at positions 355 to 776 of the family's 1533-position model. The record is from RNAcentral.